GUACACGCUGUGACUAGCAUAUCAAUAAGCGGAGGAAAAGAAACUAACAAGGAUUCCCCUAGUAACGGCGAGUGAAGCGGGAAGAGCUCAAAUUUGAAAUCUUAAAGGGUUUCCCUUUACGAAUUGUAGUUUAAAGAAGUGUUUUCUGUUGAGGUUUUGGUAAAAGUUCUUUGGAAUAGGACAUCAUAGAGGGUGAGAAUCCCGUAUUUGACCUUUACUUUCAACUUUGUGAUACACUUUCAAAGAGUCGGAUUGUUUGGGAAUGCAGUCCAAAAUGGGUGGUAAAUUUCAUCUAAAGCUAAAUAUUGGCGAGAGACCGAUAGCGAACAAGUACCGUGAGGGAAAGAUGAAAAGAACUUUGAAAAGAGAGUUAAACAGUACGUGAAAUUGUCAAAAGGGAAGCGUUUGACACCAGUGUUGUUUUUCUGAAAAUCAAUUAAAGAACUGUUUAUGCUAAGCUGUUUAGACUUUAUCAGCUAAUCUGUUUAGUUUUGAGCUUUUCUUUAAUGCACUUUUCAGUUAACAAGUCAACAUCAAUUUCUUUUGCUGUAAAAAAGCUUGAGGAAGGUGGCUUGAGAUUCGUCUUAAGUGUUUAUAGCCUCUUGCCUAUGCAGUCGGAGAGAUUGAGGUCUGCAGCGUAGAUCCUUCGGGGCUAAAUGCAUUUGUGCUAAGUUAUAGCAUUUUAUAGACAACUUGUUGACUAUGAUUUGUCUUGUAGCUUACUCGCUUAUGUUAUUUUACCUACGCUUAGGAUGUUGACGAGACUGUCGAUCUC
RNAcentral lists this ribosomal RNA (775 nucleotides) under uncultured Neocallimastigales. RNAcentral's name for it is "partial large subunit ribosomal RNA". It matches the Rfam family "Eukaryotic large subunit ribosomal RNA", at positions 22 to 647 of the family's 3401-position model. Lineage: Eukaryota; Fungi; Neocallimastigomycota; Neocallimastigomycetes; Neocallimastigales. The record is from RNAcentral.